CCCACCUCGCAACUCGUCGCCUGGGCAGACGGGGGCCUGGGUCUGGCCCAGGGUCUCCCUGUACUUAGCUGCUCUGACACCACCCAGCCAUGAGAAUUGCUGACCUUCAACCGUAAAACCAGGAUGACAAAGAACUAGGAUGACCGAGACCAGGAUGACCCACACUGGACCAACACUUGACCAGUUUCAAGAUCCAUAUCGAAAUGACUGUGCUGGACUGCAGGAACUAACUUUAGAAGAUACAGACUUUGACCUUCAGUCAUCCCAGUUCGAGGAGAAUUGCUGACCAUAAAAUCAAGAUAACCAAGACCAGGAUGACCCGCACUGGAUUGUCACUUGACCAGUUUCAAGAUCCUUAAUGGAAUGGACCAUGCUGGACUGCACGUAGACAACUUUUCAACUCCCUCCCCUUGAUUAUUUUGUUCUGCUUUGCCUCUCCCUCUUUGUAAAAACCUCUGCCUGCACUGAGAUGUUGAGAUGGGCUUUGUGACAAGCAUUCCCCAUCUCCUCAGGUGACCAGCACUUGAAUAAAACCUCUUUCCUUUUUUCUGCAUCUGUCCAAUGAGUUUGGUUUUUGUGCAGCAGGCAGCAGAACUUGGGUUCUGGU
This is a long non-coding RNA of Myotis davidii, 607 nucleotides long. RefSeq lists it as uncharacterized. The record is from RefSeq and is a predicted model, not a curated record. The transcript has 3 exons. Lineage: Eukaryota; Metazoa; Chordata; Mammalia; Chiroptera; Vespertilionidae.